Long non-coding RNA from Dendroctonus ponderosae (mountain pine beetle), 1826 nucleotides. RefSeq lists it as uncharacterized. The transcript has 2 exons. The record is from RefSeq and is a predicted model, not a curated record. Lineage: Eukaryota; Metazoa; Arthropoda; Insecta; Coleoptera; Curculionidae.
AGAAAAAAAGUGAAAACACCCUAUUACCACUGUGUUUACUCAACCAGAGAUGUGCGAUGAAAUCAUUUGAAAAUUAGUUAUCAUUAGGAAUUUCCUAUUAAUUUCACAACAAUUAAGUUUCGCUGUGUUUAUUUUGGUAUCUUCAGGGCAAUUUUAUGUAUCUUGUUCUGAAUAUGUCAAAAGCAAAUAUUGCAAAGCGUCGACGAUUCGAAAAAAAUGAAGUUUUCUUUCACUCCGAACCAAAUCCAGUCUGUUCAGACGAAUCGUAAAAAGUAGCAUCAAAACAUCUUUAUUAUCUUGAAAGUUUUAAUUUUUAAGACAAUUUUACCAUCUCCUAUAUUUACAGGGUGUUUGUUAAAGAUGUCCGAAUAUUUAAUGAAGUGAUUCCACAUGGACGUUAUGGAUUCAUUUGUAAACAUUAUGAGAAGAGCAAAUUUGUUUAAAAAUCUUUGACAAACUCAGAUAUUUCCGUGAGGUUUAGUAGCUAAUUCAGUGCAUUGCCGAUUUUUGCAAGUUUUUUAAUUACAAUUGGUAAAAGGAUCUCUAGGCCUCACCGAAUGAAAGCGAAAAUUCCCUAAUCUUUCGAAUGUUUCAUUUGCAAAAAACCUCUAUCGGAGAACCAUUUGUCCAAUGCGUGUUUCCCAUAACUUUGGCACCAAAAAAGUGUUUCUCUUUUAACUGGCAUUACAUACCAUAAAACCUUUCCAAGCGGUUUUGCGAAUAUUAUUUACUUAAUUUGUGUUAUUUGCAACACCUGUUGAACGACAUGUUCUCAGUGUAUUCCUCUCCUUAUGCAAGUAAUAACACAUAAGGAAAUUAGAUAUUCAAUUACAUAAAAUGCUUUGUUUCAAUUGCGCAGCGGUGUUGUUUCAGCUUCCACAUGAAACCCAAUGCUUCAUAUAAGGGCAAGCGGAUGUGCCAUCAUCUACAAUAGAUCGUAGCAGAAGCUUUAGUGCGAAGUUAAUCUGGUUCAAUCAUUUAAUAAUAAGCCUUAUAAUAACACUUAACCAAUUCAAAAGCCGUUUGUGGGUCAUCAAUAUCAAACUACACUCGGCUUAAGCCUUUAUUAAAUGUACCUACGAGCUUUGAAACCAUGGCAUGUCUGAGAAACCAUUAGGUAACUAACCCAUAAUUAUUAAAUCUAGGUCGUUCGGCUUUUCGUAGGUGGCGCAUAAACUAAUAACGAAUAAACAUUGCAAUUAUCUCGUCCAAUUUGCUGACAAUUUUUAUCGUACAGUUCAAGUAGCAUUGUUUAGGUGAUUAAAAUACUCGGUUGUUGAUAAUGAAAGUUCGCCGAAGCAAACUAUUAAGGGAACAAAGAGUGAAUAGAACCAAGUAGAUGAAGCAACGAAUCACCUAUAAAGAAGAACCGGCUGGAAUUUUGAAGUGCGACACAAAGAACCUUUGAAGAUGUUGAGACGGAUGAAGAUAAAUAGCAAAAGACCGAUGGUUUCUUAGAUAUUAUUUGCUGCCUUGAGCGGAGAUUAAUUGAGACAGAAGAAUCUUUGAAGAAAUCCAGUUGGUUCAACACUAAUGAGAGUGAUACAACGCACAUCCCAACAGAAAGACAUAUUUUGUCCAAUUCCAAGUCAAAUCUGGAUUAAUUUUAAGCCAAAAUGUUCGCAUUUUUUAAAAUAGAUCCAUAUCUAUCUAAUAUAAAAAAAUGUUGGUGUUAAAUGUGUGCAGCAAUUUUAGAUACAUUUAAGAAGAUACGGAAAAUCUGUCUUUAUUUCCAGUGAUAGCCUUUGAGUUUUAACCCCUUUGAGAGAUCAUAGAUGAUAAAUAUAUCCAAUUUGUGGGCGUUCGGUCGGAACGCUAUAAUUGAA